Molecule: ribosomal RNA, 223 nt
Filed under: uncultured bacterium
Lineage: Bacteria
Description: partial 16S ribosomal RNA
Rfam family: Bacterial small subunit ribosomal RNA
Source: RNAcentral
CGGUAACACAUCGGAACAUGUCCAUUCGUGGGGGAUAGCCCGGCGAAAGCCGGAUUAAUACCGCAUGAGCCGAGGAGGGAAGUGGGGGACUCGAAAGGGCCUCACGCGGAUGGGUUGGCCGAUGUCCGAUUAGCUAGUUGGCGGGGUAAGAGCCCACCAAGGCGAUGAUCGGUAGCUGGUCUGAGAGGAUGAUCAGCCACACUGGGACUGAGACACGGCCCAG